GAGGCUCUCUGAAAAAUGACACCGGGUAACGUGGGAAGAGAGAAGCAGGUACUGGAGAGGACCCCUCCUGCCAAAGCCUUCGCAGAAGUGGUGCCGGGAAUGUCCCGUUCGUGGUGCCCGGGGAGGGAGUGGACCCCAUGCAAGGUGCCGGGGACACUUGUCCUGGCAGCCCCAGGGAUCCUGGAGACAGGCAGGGGCCAGGUGUGUGCCGGGGUGAGAUCGAAUUCGGAGGGUCUGGGAAGAAGCGAGGCAAGGUAAGAGGCUGCCCCUCCCUGGCCCCGCCGAGGCCCGGCCCCGCACCCUGGUGACCGGCCGCCACGUGCUCACGAAACCCCUGAGCCCCAUUUCCUCCCCUGCACCUUGAGCACUGGUACCUGCUCUCCCCGGGCCGCGCUCUCU
Molecule: long non-coding RNA, 399 nt
Organism: Camelus dromedarius (Arabian camel)
Lineage: Eukaryota; Metazoa; Chordata; Mammalia; Artiodactyla; Camelidae
Exons: 3
Source: RefSeq, a predicted model, not a curated record